UGUGUCCCGCGGGCCGCCUGGGUGUGUCCGGCCUCGGAGGAGGAGCUGCCCCUGACACCGCCAUUGGCUGGGCCGCGGCUCCCGCACUGCCUCCGAGGAGGCCCAGGAGCCUUGGGGUUUGAGGCUCGGUCUCCCCGGGGUGCGGAGUCCGGAGUCCGCACCCUGUGGGGGGAGAACCGCAGGGCCACUCGGAGCCCCUGCUCGUCCUCUCGUCCCCGGCCGUGUGCGGGGGCAGCGGGGGCCCGACCUGCCUUCUCCUUCCCUAGCCCCUGGGAGUCCAGGGGCUGCGCCCGGGCCUCCCACCCCUGUCUCCAGCACGUGCGGCGGCGGCAUUCACGGCCCGUCCCGCGUGCCUUCCCCUCGCUGUUCUCAUCACCUGCUACUCCUCCAAGAAGCCUUCCCUGACUGCCGCUCCAGGGGACUUAGGGGCCUCCCCUCUGGGCCCCGUGGCCUUGACCUCCCACAUCGUCCUGGCUGUCCUGGAGCACUUGACCUCAGCGGAGCUCGUUCCAGGAAAUUGCCCCAGCCGCCCCAGCCUUCAGCACGGACUGCCCCGACGAGUGAGCAAGACCCUCCACCAGCAAAAAGAUUCCAACUCGCCGAAAGCUCGGAUGACAGUUAGCAUUUUUAAGCUAAGGGCCAGGCCCGUUCGAGGCCCUCGGCGAGUAUGUGCCAAAGGAACAAACGAGUGAGUGAACAGAUGCAUGUUGGGGUGAGAAGCAGGAGGCGCAUGAGGCAAGUGGUGCAGAGGGCGUCCUGGGAGAGGCCGUGGCUGUGCUGGAGUCGGUGUCCUGGGAUGGUUCCUCAGGGCCCAGGGGCUUGGGAAGAGGAGGGGAGAGUCGACAGGGGAGGAGGGCUGCUGAGGCUGGCUGCCCGGGGGACUAGGAUGGCUCUGUGACCGGGGGCCCAGAUCACAGGGUGUCGCUGGGGAGCCGGACAGAGGAACAGGGAAAUCAUGAAGCGUCAUGACAGCUGCGUAAUGGAGCCUGUUUGGGCCCCACGAGGCUGGAUUCCAGUGCUGUCGCUGCCGGCUGAGGCCCCUGCGUGGCCCUGGGAGGAGGUGGCUCCCUCGGGUGGCGCCGGGCCUUGGUG
Long non-coding RNA from Canis lupus familiaris (dog), 1092 nucleotides. RefSeq lists it as uncharacterized. The transcript has 3 exons. NCBI's taxonomy places the organism in Eukaryota, Metazoa, Chordata, Mammalia, Carnivora, Canidae. The record is from RefSeq and is a predicted model, not a curated record.